This 572-nucleotide ribosomal RNA is filed under the name uncultured Propionibacteriales bacterium. RNAcentral's name for it is "bacterial SSU rRNA". It matches the Rfam family "Bacterial small subunit ribosomal RNA", at positions 336 to 918 of the family's 1533-position model. Lineage: Bacteria; Bacillati; Actinomycetota; Actinomycetes; Propionibacteriales. The record is from RNAcentral.
UUCCUACGGGAGGCAGCAGUGGGGAAUAUUGCACAAUGGGCGGAAGCCUGAUGCAGCAACGCCGCGUGCGGGAUGACGGCCUUCGGGUUGUAAACCGCUUUCGCCUGUGACGAAGCGUGAGUGACGGUAAUGGGUAAAGAAGCACCGGCUAACUACGUGCCAGCAGCCGCGGUGAUACGUAGGGUGCGAGCGUUGUCCGGAUUUAUUGGGCGUAAAGGGCUCGUAGGUGGUUGAUCGCGUCGGAAGUGUAAUCUUGGGGCUUAACCCUGAGCGUGCUUUCGAUACGGGUUGACUUGAGGAAGGUAGGGGAGAAUGGAAUUCCUGGUGGAGCGGUGGAAUGCGCAGAUAUCAGGAGGAACACCAGUGGCGAAGGCGGUUCUCUGGGCCUUUCCUGACGCUGAGGAGCGAAAGCGUGGGGAGCGAACAGGCUUAGAUACCCUGGUAGUCCACGCUGUAAACGGUGGGUACUAGGUGUGGGGUCCAUUCCACGGGUUCCGCGCCGUAGCUAACGCUUUAAGUACCCCGCCUGGGGAGUACGGCCGCAAGGCUAAAACUCAAAUGAAUUGACGGAA